Musa acuminata AAA Group (dessert banana) is the source of this 671-nucleotide long non-coding RNA. RefSeq lists it as uncharacterized. The record is from RefSeq and is a predicted model, not a curated record. The transcript has 3 exons. NCBI's taxonomy places the organism in Eukaryota, Viridiplantae, Streptophyta, Magnoliopsida, Zingiberales, Musaceae.
CGCUGAUGCCCGUCACAGAAACCCAGAGUUUGUUGGUCCGCCGUCCAUUUGAAAGGGCUUCUCCCUCCCGUUCUCUCUCUCUCUCUCUCUCUCUCUCUCUCUCUCUCUCGCUGCUUUGUUCGGAGUUCUCUUCUUUUUACCCUCUUUCGAUUUUCUCAGUCUUCUUGACCUCUCUGGGGUUCCCAAGAUUCUCAUUCGUUGAUCCAUUUCCGUCCCUCCCGAUCCUUGAACGACCAUCUCCUCGGAGAAACUGGAGGCUCAGAAACGCCGGUUUCUGGAGGAGGACCACUCCUGAUCGCCAGCUCAAGCUGAUGGAGGAGAUAUUCCAAGAAGAUGCAGCAGCGGGAGGCGAGGACUGCAAGAAUUCAAAGAAGGAAGAUGACGUGGACCCAAGCGCAGGUGGACUUCUAUUGUUUACUGUUCUGAUUAGGGGGGCUACCAUCCUGCUUCGGUUGAAUCAAACGAAAGGCUCGGUCAAGCUUCGCGUGAGUUGCUCAAUGUCAUUUAGUUUUUUCUUUUCAUAUUUGAUUAUUGAUAAUAUCCAAUAUUGCCAUUCAGAGACUGAUCUGCUCAACUUUGAACUUCUUUGAUGUCGGACGGUGUAUUGGCAUUCAAUGUUGGGCAUUUUUACUAUUUACGCUUGUCUUUUUAAUAUAUCAAUGAAUUGGAUC